GACGAACGCUGGCGGCGUGCUUAACACAUGCAAGUCGAACGGCAAGGCCCUGCUUUUGUGGUGUGCUCGAGUGGCGAACGGGUGAGUAACACGUGAGUAACCUGCCCUUGACUUUGGGAUAACUUCAGGAAACUGGGGCUAAUCCCGUAUAGGAGCUCCUGCUGCAUGGUGGGGGUUGGAUCGUUUCGGCGGUUGGGGAUGGACUCGCGGCUUAUCAGCUUGUUGGUGGGGUAGUGGCUUACCAAGGCUUUGAAGGGUAGCCGGCAUGAGAGGGUGACCGGCCACAAGGGGACUGAGAGACGGCCCAGACGGCUACGGGAGGCAGCAGUGGGGAAUAUGGCACAAUGGGCGGAAGCCGGAGGAAGAAACGCCGCGUGCGGGAUGACGGCCUUCGGGGUGUAAACAGCUGUCGCCUGUGACGAAGCGUGAGUGACGGUAAUGGGUAAAGAAGCACCGGCUAACUACGUG
RNAcentral lists this ribosomal RNA (468 nucleotides) under uncultured bacterium. Its description in RNAcentral is "partial 16S ribosomal RNA". It matches the Rfam family "Bacterial small subunit ribosomal RNA", at positions 28 to 507 of the family's 1533-position model. The record is from RNAcentral.